This 1731-nucleotide ribosomal RNA is filed under the name Triticum aestivum (bread wheat). RNAcentral's name for it is "partial small subunit ribosomal RNA". The record is from RNAcentral. Lineage: Eukaryota; Viridiplantae; Streptophyta; Magnoliopsida; Poales; Poaceae.
AUGGAGAGCACCAAGCACGUGGCCGCCUGGCACUUCAUCAACGACUCGGGCCGCUUGGUCGAGGAGGUGUACGGGGCGGUGUGCGCGGUGGCGGACGAGGCCCGCAGCCACUACGACGAGGACAAGGGGCGGGCUCUCGGCGACGACGACUUCAACCCCAUGAUGUUCUACGACGGCUGCUUCCUGCUGCAGUUCCUGCUGCAUUGGGUGGACGAGGCGGUGGAUCCGCUGCUGAAGGAUGCUUUCAGCUCCAACUGCACCAGCAUCAGCUACGACAUCGCGCUGCUCGAGAACCAGCUCCCAUGGGUGGUGGUCCAAGAGCUGAUGCGCUUCAUGCCGACGCCCCCGGACCUGGUGCGGUUCACCACGGAAUGGAAGGCCACCAUGCAGCCCACCGUACCGCUCGUAGACAAGAACCCUCUUGCAUGGGACGACAGCUACACGCCGCCGCAUCUUCUCGAGCUCCUGCUACAUCGUAGGAAGCACUACCGAGACGCCGGCCGAGCCGGAUGUCGCUCCUCACCGGUGAGCUUUUCCUGGCGCCACUGUCCCUGGACGAUGCAAACGCGAGCUUCCUCGUCAACAUGGCGGUUCUGGAGCUAUGCACGACCCGACUUUUCUGAAGUGGUGGAGGAGAAGUCAGCUGUCUGCUCCUACCUCUGCCUCCUGGGCAUGGUGACGGACAGCGAGGAGGACGUGCAGCAGCUGCGGAAGAAGGGUAUCUUGCUGGGAGGUGCAGGCCUCAGCAACAAGGACGCGCUGGAACUGCUCAACAGGGUGGAGAACCGGCUGCGCUCCGGAACCCACUAUCUGAGGACCAUGGUGCUCAUCGAGAACUACAGGAAGGAGAGGCCGAGGCGGAUCAAGUUUCACAAGUUCCAUUACAACUACCGCAAAGCCAUCAUCUUGACCUUGUCUGGCAUUGCUGGACUUGCCAGCUUCCUCGGGGCGCUCAAUCUAGCCCGGGUUGGUCUCGUUUUUACAUCAAACCAAACAAAUCCCGACUGGAAAGAGAAGCUGCCCUUGGAGAUCCGUGAUGCAUGGGCCGCAGGUGCCGCCGGGGUCAUCUCUUCGUGGUGGUAUUUGAUGCCCUCUCGUGCGGUGCCCCACGCGCACCGGCUGAGCCCGGGUCCACAUUUCAGUGUCCUCCUCCUCUCGUCAAGCAGCUUCACUCCCGCUAGCCGGGCACGACCGGCUGGCUUCGCGCGGCUGGCUCCCUGGCACGCUCCACGCCAUCCGAUCUGUGCGGCCGCGUCGCACCCGACCAAUUUUUCUUGGGGGACCAUGAUGCAUGCGCCGCGGGCACGGCCGAGGCCACCUCUCUAUGGAGAUUUUCAUUGUGCACACGUGCAUCGUCCCGCGCGGUGCAUCACACAUUGGGUGAGGCCGGCUGAGCAUGCACACAUGCCCGACUCGGUAUGUGACAUCGGGGUGGUCGGAGAGGGUGAUCUAGCCAGGGGCCGCGAUCACAGGCCAACUGGCCCGAAGGUCAAUCCGGCCAGGGGUUGCGACGGUAAGCCAACCGGUCAUGAGGGCCAACCGGCCAGGGGUUUCGACGACAAGCCGCCGGGUGUUGUGUUUUUCUAUAAGUUGGACGCCGAUAAGUGGCGAACAUUCGGGUUUACUGGAGUCCGGUCCGAACUAGUUGUUCGGAGCGGGAGCAUCACGUGCCGAACAAAAGUGUUCGGGCAGUCAAUCAUAGGGCCCGAACGCCUGCACAAGCCCCAGUAA